ACCACGCAAUGGAGAAUCUGUAGCCA
This 26-nucleotide small nuclear RNA is filed under the name Arabidopsis thaliana (thale cress). Its description in RNAcentral is "snRNA_08000". The record is from RNAcentral. Lineage: Eukaryota; Viridiplantae; Streptophyta; Magnoliopsida; Brassicales; Brassicaceae.